This 405-nucleotide ribosomal RNA is filed under the name uncultured bacterium. RNAcentral describes it as "bacterial SSU rRNA". It matches the Rfam family "Bacterial small subunit ribosomal RNA", at positions 355 to 776 of the family's 1533-position model. The record is from RNAcentral.
UCGGGAAUAUUGCACAAUGGAGGAAACUCUGAUGCAGUGACGCCGCGUAUAGGAGGAAGGUUUUCGGAUUGUAAACUAUUGUCGUUAGGGAAGAAAAAAGACAGUACCUAAGGAGGAAGCUCCGGCUAACUACGUGCCAGCAGCCGCGGUAAUACGUAGGGAGCAAGCGUUAUCCGGAUUUAUUGGGUGUAAAGGGUGCGUAGACGGGACAACAAGUUAGUUGUGAAAUCCCACGGCUUAACUGUGGAACUGCAACUAAAACUAUUGUUCUUGAGUGUCGGAGAGGAAAGUGGAAUUCCUAGUGUAGCGGUGAAAUGCGUAGAUAUUAGGAGGAACACCGGUGGCGAAGGCGACUUUCUGGACGAUAACUGACGUUGAGGCACGAAAGUGUGGGGAGCAAACAGG